UUUUGAUGAUGUCAGUUGGAUCUAAAUGGAAAGAGUGGAAGCAUGAAGCAAAAAGUAAUGGUUGUGACCCGUAUAAUACUGAUAUUGAGCGCUUAGCUCAUCGUCCAAAGAGUGUUGCAGAAGAUCAGUGGCGUUCAUUAGUUCAUUAUUGGAGUUCAAAAGAAGCAAAGGAAAAGAGCGAGAGAAACAAAGAAAGUCGAAAAAAGUUGACUAUGCCACACACAUCAGGAAGAAAAAGUCUUGCUCAAAUUAUAGAUGAUAUGACAAAAGAGAAUACUGGUGUAAAGCCAACUCGUAUUGAGGUGUGGAAAAAAAACUCACACUAGAGAGAAUAAACAACCAGUAAAUGACAUAGCCGGUGAAGUUAUGAAACAAAUGGAUGAUCUUGCUGAGGUGUAUCCCGAGUUAAAUGUCCCUGGAAGUGCUCGCAAUGAUAUAUAUUCACAAGUAAUGGGACCAGACACUCAUGGGAUUGUUCGAACUCUAGGAAAAGGAGCAGCUCCAAGUUUAGUUUAUGGCCCAGUAUAUAAACGAUCACAGUUGGAGCAACGAGAUUUUGAUGCAAGGGUUGAGAUAGAAGUUCAAAAAGCUAACGUAGCAAUCCAAAUUGAUAUGGAUAAAAAGUUGGCUGAAGCAAAACAAAAUAUGGAAGCAAAAUGGAUGAAAGAAUGGAUGAAAAGGUGAAGGAAAAAGUGAAGGCUGAGAUGCAAGCAUACGUACAGAGUAUCGGUUUUAUGAAUGGCUCAAACAGUAAAUCAAUCAGUUAUGAAGAGCUUUCCCAUAACUCAGUUGAAGACCGCCAACAAUCAUUAUCUCCUGUAUGAGUUGUUCCAACAAAAAAGGUUAACUUAAUCAAGAACACCACAAAUAAUGGAGGUGACACACAAAAAAAGAAGUGG
Long non-coding RNA from Lycium barbarum (goji berry), 899 nucleotides. RefSeq lists it as uncharacterized. NCBI's taxonomy places the organism in Eukaryota, Viridiplantae, Streptophyta, Magnoliopsida, Solanales, Solanaceae. The transcript has 6 exons. The record is from RefSeq and is a predicted model, not a curated record.